UCAGCCUGCCGGCAGCGCCAAACCAAACCUGAAUUUAAAAACCAGUCUGAAAAUUGAUUCAUUUACGAAUGGAAAAAUCAAAACUUUCAACAACGGAUCUCUUGGUUCUCGCAUCGAUGAAGAACGCAGCGAAACGCGAUAGUUAAUGUGAAUUGCAGAAUUCAGUGAAUCAUCGAGUCUUUGAACGCACAUUGCGCCCAUUGGUAUUCCGAUGGGCAUGUCUGUUUGAGCGUCAUUGCAAACUUUCGGUUCCGGCCGGUUAUGAGCUCGGCUUGACCCUUUGCUGGGCAGCUGGCUUUAAAUUUGCACGCUCUGCGGGUGGUCCAAACCUGAACGAACAUAGUAAAUUUGCUAAUUGUUUAACUAAGGAUUGAUCAACUUCGCCUGAAUAACAAAACCAUUUCUAAGGUUUGACCUCAGAUCAGACAAGGAUACCCGCUGAACUUAAGCAUAUCAAUAAGCGGAGGAAAAGAAACCAACAGGGAUUGCCUCAGUAACGGCGAGUGAAGCGGCAACAGCUCAAAUUUGAAAUCUGAAGCCUUUGGCUUUCGAGUUGUAAUUUGAAGAGGAUGCUUCGGUUGUGGCCCCGGCCUAAGUUCCUUGGAACAGGACGUCCCAGAGGGUGAGAAUCCCGUACGCGGCUGGCGGCUUACUUCCAUGUGUAGCUCCUUCGAAGAGUCGAGUUGUUUGGGAAUGCAGCUCAAAACGGGUGGUAAAUUUCAUCUAAAGCUAAAUACUGGCGAGAGACCGAUAGCGCACAAGUAGAGUGAUCGAAAGAUGAAAAGCACUUUGAAAAGAGAGUUAAACAGUACGUGAAAUUGUUGAAAGGGAAGCGCUUGCAAUCAGACUUGCUUUCGGUUGAUCAACGUUCCUUUUGGUUCGUGCACUCUGCCGUUUGCAGGCCAGCAUCGGUUAGGGCGGCGGGACAAAGA
This 932-nucleotide ribosomal RNA is filed under the name Orbilia adenocarpi. RNAcentral's name for it is "eukaryotic LSU rRNA". The stretch from base 412 to 932 matches the Rfam family "Eukaryotic large subunit ribosomal RNA", at positions 1 to 525 of the family's 3401-position model. Lineage: Eukaryota; Fungi; Ascomycota; Orbiliomycetes; Orbiliales; Orbiliaceae. The record is from RNAcentral.